CCUACGGGUGGCAGCAGUGAGGAAUAUUGGUCAAUGGGCGCAAGCCUGAACCAGCCAAGUAGCGUGAAGGAUGACUGCCCUACGGGUUGUAAACUUCUUUUAUAAAGGAAUAAAGUGAUGCACGUGUGCCUUUUUGUAUGUACUUUAUGAAUAAGGAUCGGCUAACUCCGUUCCCACAGCCGCGGUAAUACGGAGGAUCCGAGCGUUUACCGGAUUUGUUGGGUUUAAAGGGAGCGUAGAGUGGGUGUUAAGUCAGUUGUGAAAGUUUGCGGCUCAACCGUAAAAUUGCAAUUGAUACUGGCAGUCUUGAGUACAGUUGAGGUAGGCGGAAUUCGUGGUGUAGCGGUGAAAUGCUUAGAUAUCACGAAGAACUCCGAUUGCGAAGGCAGCUUACUAAACUGCAACUGACAUUGAUGCACGAAAGUGUGGGUAUCAAACAGGAUUAGAUACCCGAGUAGUC
Molecule: ribosomal RNA, 460 nt
Filed under: uncultured bacterium
Lineage: Bacteria
Description: partial 16S ribosomal RNA
Rfam family: Bacterial small subunit ribosomal RNA
Source: RNAcentral